AUUGAACGCUGGCGGCAGGCCUAAGACAUGCAAGUCGAACGGUAACGACACUAGCUUGCUAGUGGUCGACGAGUGGCGGACGGGUGAGUAACGCGUAGGAAUCUACCUAGUAGUGGGGGAUAGCCAAGGGAAACUUUGGGUAAUACCGCAUACGAUCUAAGGAUGAAAGGGGGCCUCUCUUUGAAGCUCUCGCUAUUAGAUGAGCCUGCGUAAGAUUAGCUUGUUGGUGGGGUAAUGGCCCACCAAGGCGACGAUCUUUAGCUGGUCUGAGAGGAUGAUCAGUCACACUGGAACUGAGACACGGUCCAGACUCCUACGGGAGGCAGCAGUCGGGAAUAUUGGACAAUGGGGGAAACCCUGAUCCAGCCAUGCCGCGUGUGUGAAGAAGGCCCUAGGGUUGUAAAGCACUUUUAGUAGUGAGGAAGGCUCAGUAGUUAAUACCUACUGGGAUUGACGUUAGCUACAGAAAAAGCACCGGCUAAUUUCGUGCCAGCAGCCGCGGUAAUACGAAAGGUGCAAGCGUUAAUCGGAAUUACUGGGCGUAAAGCGCGCGUAGGCGGCUUGGUAAGUUGGAUGUGAAAGCCCCGGGCUCAACCUGGGAACUGCAUCCAAAACUGCCUAGCUAGAGUAUGGUAGAGGAUGGCGGAAUUUCCUGUGUAGCGGUGAAAUGCGUAGAUAUAGGAAGGAACAUCAGUGGCGAAGGCGGCCAUCUGGACCAAUACUGACGCUGA
This 731-nucleotide ribosomal RNA is filed under the name gamma proteobacterium IMCC15037. RNAcentral describes it as "bacterial SSU rRNA". It matches the Rfam family "Bacterial small subunit ribosomal RNA", at positions 28 to 749 of the family's 1533-position model. Lineage: Bacteria; Pseudomonadati; Pseudomonadota; Gammaproteobacteria. The record is from RNAcentral.